AGUCUUAUAUUCAAUAAUGAUAUAAAAUUGCAAAUUUUAAGGAGUAUAUUUAUACUAAGGCUU
RNAcentral lists this transfer RNA (63 nucleotides) under Papilio thoas (king swallowtail). Its description in RNAcentral is "tRNA-Cys". The record is from RNAcentral. Lineage: Eukaryota; Metazoa; Arthropoda; Insecta; Lepidoptera; Papilionidae.